Molecule: long non-coding RNA, 645 nt
Organism: Neoarius graeffei (lesser salmon catfish)
Lineage: Eukaryota; Metazoa; Chordata; Actinopteri; Siluriformes; Ariidae
Exons: 5
Source: RefSeq, a predicted model, not a curated record
CACAUGAACCACAAAAUGGAACUCUGUCCAUUCCAGCAGAAUAACCGUGUCCAUCAUAUAAACAGUUCCUGGAGUACAGAAGCUCAAAGACAGAAGAACGACAGUCCUGUAACUGUGGGCUGAAAGGAAGAUAUCGGCCAAAACAAGGAAGGAAACGUGUCCAGAUAAACAUAAAAUUGAUGGUGCCACAUGGAACUGAUUUAAAAGCUCUAAGAGGGAAAACACUCCCGUUAUUUACAGACCCGGAGGUAGCAGCACCUGAUCUACUGAAACAAGCUGUCCAGAAAAUGCGAAAUUUCAACAAGGACAUGCGAGAUGGACUGUAUAUUCUUUUCUCUAGACUGCUCAGAGGUGAUCCAUGUGCCUGGGUCAGAAAGGCCAUUCAAACUGGCAGAAUAUAAAAAUGAAACAGGAAAAGCAUAUUCCAGGAUUACUUUUUCAUUUGCAUAGAAAGACACUUUAAAGGAGUGGAUGAUACGUCAGACUCUGAUUCUGAGAUUGUCAUCACAUCAAGGAGCACAGGUUUUUGAACCACAAAACCAAAGUACUCCCCAACACAAACCUGAUGAUGAAAGAUAGUAAGAUCUGAUACUGAGGAUCUGGAUCCACCUGAAACAAAUCCAGACAAGACUUCUUGCUACAGGG